Molecule: small nucleolar RNA, 171 nt
Organism: Salvia miltiorrhiza (redroot sage)
Lineage: Eukaryota; Viridiplantae; Streptophyta; Magnoliopsida; Lamiales; Lamiaceae
Product: small nucleolar RNA snoR127
Exons: 1
Source: RefSeq, a predicted model, not a curated record
CUGGAAUGAUGCGUCUUAGCCAAAUCAUAGAAGGAUGUGCUCCUAAGGUGUUUGUCGAAAUUAAGCUUUUAGCUUAUAUAUUUGUGUAUUAAAUGAAAUGGCAAUGACACCCUUUGUUGAAGUGCACCUAUCUGAUGAUUAAAUAGAGGGAUUGGUUCUCACCUGAUCAGA